Magnolia sinica is the source of this 194-nucleotide small nuclear RNA. RefSeq annotates it as U2 spliceosomal RNA. The record is from RefSeq and is a predicted model, not a curated record. NCBI's taxonomy places the organism in Eukaryota, Viridiplantae, Streptophyta, Magnoliopsida, Magnoliales, Magnoliaceae. The transcript has a single exon.
AACCUUUCUUGGCCUUUUGGCUAAGAUCAAGUGUAGUACGUUCUUAUCAGUAUAAUACCCUGAUAUGUGGUCCAUCGGAUCACAUGAUAUUAAAUUAAUUUCUUCUGGGGGAUGGCCCACCACAGCAGCUUGCUGCUGGGGCCAUCGAGUGUCACCCUUGCAUUGCACUGUUACAUGAGCCUGGCGCAUCCCUC